RNAcentral lists this ribosomal RNA (934 nucleotides) under Clitopilus pinsitus. RNAcentral's name for it is "LSU rRNA". It matches the Rfam family "Eukaryotic large subunit ribosomal RNA", at positions 40 to 961 of the family's 3401-position model. Lineage: Eukaryota; Fungi; Basidiomycota; Agaricomycetes; Agaricales; Entolomataceae. The record is from RNAcentral.
AUAUCAAUAAGCGGAGGAAAAGAAACUAACAAGGAUUCCCCUAGUAACUGCGAGUGAAGCGGGAAAAGCUCAAAUUUAAAAUCUGGUAGUCUUUGGCUGCCCGAGUUGUAAUCUAGAGAAGCGUUAUCCGCGCUGGACCGUGUAUAAGUCUCCUGGAAUGGAGCGUCAUAGAGGGUGAGAAUCCCGUCUUUGACACGGACUACCAGGGCUUUGUGAUGCGCUCUCAAAGAGUCGAGUUGUUUGGGAAUGCAGCUCUAAAUGGGUGGUAAAUUCCAUCUAAAGCUAAAUAUUGGCGAGAGACCGAUAGCGAACAAGUACCGUGAGGGAAAGAUGAAAAGAACUUUGGAAAGAGAGUUAAACAGUACGUGAAAUUGUUGAAAGGGAAACGCUUGAAGUCAGUCGCGUUGGCUAGGAAUCAGCCUUGCUUUUGCUUGGUGUAUUUCCUGGUUGACGGGUCAGCAUCAAUUUUGACCGGUGGAAAAAGGCCAGAGGAAUGUGGCAUCUUCGGAUGUGUUAUAGCUUCUGGUUGUAUACAUCGGUUGGGAUUGAGGAACUCAGCACGCCGCAAGGUCGGGGUUCGCCCACGUUCGUGCUUAGGAUGCUGGCAUAAUGGCUUUAAUCGACCCGUCUUGAAACACGGACCAAGGAGUCUAACAUGCCUGCGAGUGUUUGGGUGGAAAACCCGAGCGCGUAAUGAAAGUGAAAGUUGAGAUCCCUGUCGUGGGGAGCAUCGACGCCCGGACCAGACCUUCUGUGACGGCUCCGCGGUAGAGCAUGUAUGUUGGGACCCGAAAGAUGGUGAACUAUGCCUGAAUAGGGUGAAGCCAGAGGAAACUCUGGUGGAGGCUCGUAGCGAUUCUGACGUGCAAAUCGAUCGUCAAAUUUGGGUAUAGGGGCGAAAGACUAAUCGAACCAUCUAGUAGCUGGUUCCUGC